Molecule: ribosomal RNA, 303 nt
Filed under: uncultured fungus
Lineage: Eukaryota; Fungi
Description: SSU rRNA
Rfam family: Eukaryotic small subunit ribosomal RNA
Source: RNAcentral
AAGCCAUGCAUGUCUAAGUAUAAGCAAUCUAUACCGUGAAACUGCGAAUGGCUCAUUAAAUCAGUUAUCGUUUAUUUGAUAGUACCUUACUACUUGGAUAACCGUGGUAAUUCUAGAGCUAAUACAUGCUAAAAACCUCGACUUCGGAAGGGGUGUAUUUAUUAGAUAAAAAACCAAUGCCCUUCGGGGCUCCUUGGUGAUUCAUAAUAACUUAACGAAUCGCAUGGCCUUGUGCCGGCGAUGGUUCAUUCAAAUUUCUGCCCUAUCAACUUUCGAUUGUAGAGUAGUGGUCUACAAUGGUUU